RNAcentral lists this ribosomal RNA (221 nucleotides) under uncultured bacterium. Its description in RNAcentral is "partial 16S ribosomal RNA". It matches the Rfam family "Bacterial small subunit ribosomal RNA", at positions 521 to 741 of the family's 1533-position model. The record is from RNAcentral.
UAAUACAGAGGGGGCAAGCGUUGUUCGGAAUUACUGGGCGUAAAGGGCGCGUAGGCGGCCUGUUAAGUCGAACGUGAAAUCCCUGGGCUCAACCCAGGAACUGCGUCCGAUACUGGCAGGCUUGAAUCCGGGAGAGGGAUGCGGAAUUCCAGGUGUAGCGGUGAAAUGCGUAGAUAUCUGGAGGAACACCGGUGGCGAAGGCGGCAUCCUGGACCGGCAUU